ACUCCUACGGGAGGCAGCAGUAGGGAAUAUUAGAAAUGGACGAAAGUCUGAUCUAGCAACACCGCGUGUGCGAAGAAGGCCUUCGGGUCGUAAAGCACUUUUUGGAAGGAAUAGGAAGGAAUGUACUUCCAGAAUAAGUCUCGGCUAACUACGUGCCAGCAGCCGCGGUAACACGUAGGAGGCAAACGUUAUCCGGAUUUACUGGGCGUAAAGCGCGUGUAGGUGGUACUGUAAGUAGGGCGUGAAAGCUCCUGGCUCAACUGGGAGAGGCCGUUCUAAACUACAGAACUAGAGGAUGGUAGAGGGAGGUGGAAUUCCAGGUGUAGCGGUGGAAUGCGCAGAUAUCUGGAGGAACACCGGUGGCGAAGGCGGCCUCCUGGACCAUUCCUGACACUCAGACGCGAAAGCUAGGGUAGCAAACGGGAUUAGAGACCCCGGUAGUCCUAGCCCUAAACGAUGUAGACUAGGCGUCGGAAGCUUAAUCGCUUUCGGUGUCCAAGCUAACGCGAUAAGUCUACCGCCUGGGGACUACGGCCGCAAGGUUAAAACUCAAAGGAAUUGACGG
RNAcentral lists this ribosomal RNA (565 nucleotides) under uncultured bacterium. Its description in RNAcentral is "bacterial SSU rRNA". It matches the Rfam family "Bacterial small subunit ribosomal RNA", at positions 335 to 916 of the family's 1533-position model. The record is from RNAcentral.